GGGUUUUUAAAAACGCUUAAUUUUCUUGUACCAUAUAUUUGUUUCAUAUUUGUUCCAUUUUCUGUUUACAAAAAAUCCCAUAGAGAGAAAAACCACAUAUCCUGCAAAACUUCCGUUGCCGUAAGAAACCUAUAAUGGCCGAUUCCACUCUCAAAUUGGGGCAACAGAAAUUCCGAGCAAACCCUAACCCUUCCUUCCAUAAGAGCUUUUCCAUUCAAAAACCCAUUUCUAGCGCCUAGAAAACAGCCACGAUGAUCCCCGACGAUGCCGUUGAAGCAACGGUUGCAAAACCGAAAUGAAGCGCUUUCCAACAAGAGAGGGUGAUGAUGAAGUCACGAAACGAGAUUUACCGGAAUCAACACUUUGAAGGAGGGAAAACUCACCGGAUCUUACCUCCAACUCUUUUACUGGAAAUUUACCUGCAAUGCAACUGAAGCAACCUAUUACAGUUUAUGCGAGGACGUGUACCUGCAGAUCAACUCCUUUUUGAUCCUGAGAUUGAAAGGACUGCGCGUAGAGAGAAUAACAAAACUCGUAGACGGAGACAACUAGCCAGGGAAAGAAGACAACAACAAGAAGCAUCUUCUUCUUCAACCCCGGUUGAAAACUUAGUUGAGGAAGAAAUGGCUGCGGAUCCUAAUGGUCCACCUCGAGGGCCUUGUGUUAAUAGCCCUCGUCUGAAUGCACAAUUUGCUCGUGAUCAAGCCAAUGGAAGGAACUCCGAAAUGAAAACGGGGUUACUUCAAUUAUUAUACCAGAAUCCUUUCACAGGAGCAGAUCACGAGGAUCCUUUUACUCAUCUAACAAAGUUCUAUGAGAUCGCCGGAACCAUCAGUGCUCCAGAGGCCGAAGAAGAACAGGUUUUUUAGGAGACUAUUUCCUCAUUCCUUGAUAGGAAAAGCUAAGGAAUGGUACCUUGAUCAACCAAACAAUGUCAUGAUUAAUUGGAACGAGUUAGAAGAGAAAUUUCUGGAUCGGUUCUUUCCGCACAAUAGGUUCAUGGAAGCGAAAACUUCUAUUGCGGUGUUCUCUCAAGGUCCGAAUGAAGCUCUCAAUGAAGCGUGGGAGAGGUUCAAGUCUAUGGUUAGAAAAUGCAAAGGGCAUGGAUUUGAUGAAUUGACUCAAAUCCAUAUCUUUAGAAAUGGACUUCAACCACAACCGAAAACACUUUUAGAUGCUACCGCGGGUGGAUCUUUGAUGUCAAAAACUGCUGAGGAAGCAAUUGCUAUCAUUGAUAGAAUGGCUUUGAAUGAUCAUCAAGGACAACACAAUCGUAGUACAUCGCAAAGAAAGUUGGGAGUUCUUGAGUUGAAUACUAGUGAUGCAAUACUUGCUCAAAACAAGUUAUUGACUCAACAAGUAGAAUUGCUUACUCAACAAAUGUCAAAACUCCCUAAACAAAUCAAAGUGAUAAAUGGGAUCCCUACUAAAAAUCAACAAGUAAUGUGUUGUGAAUUGUGUAGGGGUGACCAUCAAACUGGUUUUUGUCCUCCACCUGAUGAAGAAGUGAAUUAUGUUUCAAAUCCUAAUCAAGGAUAUGUGGGGCGACAACAACAGCCUUACAACAAUAACCAAGGUUACCAACAAAGAGGUAAUCAAGGUUAUCAACAAGGAUGGAGGUCGGAUGCGGGUCCAUCGAAUCGUCAAAAUCCCUAUCAAGGUGGUUACAAUCAACAACCUCAACAAACAAAGCUUUCAAUAGAGGACACUCUUAGCCAAUUCAUGCAAUUGCAAAUUGCAAGCCAAAAGAGUACGGAUGCGGCCAUAAAGAAUCUUGAAACUCAAGUCGGGCAAUUGUCAAAACAACUUGCCGAUCAAAACAAAGGACCUUUUCCGGCCACUACUCAAGAGAAUCCUCGCGAGCAUUGUAAGUCCAUUCUAACUCGUAGCGGUAGAAAUAUUGAUAUGGGUGUAGGAGAAAUAGUUGAGGAAGAAAUUGUUGAAAGUGAAAAAGAUGGAGUGAUUGAAGUAGAAAAAAAUGUUGAGGGUGAUUUAGUUGAAAAUGAGAAAGAGAAAGAAUUAGUGGAAAAAGAAAAUCCGGAAAUAGAAGUGGAAAAAGAAAGAAAAAAAUUGAGUGUGAGUGAAAAGGCGAAGAUGAAAGAGAACUCAAUUCAUGUGAAAAAAUUACCUUACCCUCCCGGUCCGUCAAAGAAAGAAGAUGCAAAGCAUUAUGCUCGAUUCUUGGACAUUUUUAGUAAGUUGCAAAUAAAUGUUCCUUUUUCCGAGGCAUUAGAGCAAAUGCCGAUGUAUUCGAAAUUUAUCAAAGACAUCAUUACCAAAAAGAGAAGAUUCUUGGAUUCGGAAGUAGUAACGGUUAGCUCUUGUUGUAAUGCGUUAAUUCAACGCACUACACCGAUUAAAUCAAAUGAUCCUGGACGGGUAACCUUGCCGGUGUCUAUUAGAAAUGUUCAUAUAGGCAAAGGUUUGGUAGAUACCGGUUCUAGCAUUAAUUUGAUCCCAUUGUCUAUGGUGAGAAGGUUAGGAAUUAAUGACUUGAAGCCAAGUCGAAUGACGUUAUCAUUAGCGGAUAAGUCCACAACUCAUCCUCAUGGAGUUGCGGAAGACUUGCUUUUCAAGGUUGACAAAUUUUGGUUUCCUGUUGAUUUUAUCGUCAUAGACAUGGAAGAAGAUCCUAAUAUACCAUUGAUCUUAGGAAGGCCUUUUAUGAAGACGUCCCGAAUGAUGAUAGACAUUGAUGAUGGCUUAAUGAAAUUACGGUACCAAGACGAGGAAUUAUAUCUUGAUCUCUUUGAAGCCAUCAAGCAUCCGAGUGAUGAUGAUGAUUGUUUUAGAAUCGAUGCUACAGAAAAAGCUAUUAUGAAAGUGGAGAACCAAAUGCACUUGUCUAAUCCUCUUGAGAAAACUUUGAUGGAAGCUCUUGAAGUGCUCACCAAAGAUCAAGAGAAAGAAAUUGAAGAUUGCUUGAGAAAUCUUGAGGCUUGUGAUGAGAUAAAUCCAUUUGAAACUCAAAUUGAAGAAUUGAGAGAUGAGCCUAAAGUUGAAGAGCCAAAGGUGGAGUUGAAUGUGUUACCGUCUCACUUGAAAUACGUGUUUCUCGGUGACAAUUUCACUAAGCCAAUUAUCAUUAAUAGUGGUUUGUCUAGCAAGGAAGAGCAUCGAUUGAAGGAAAUAUUGAUAAAGAAUCAAGAAGCAAUAGGAUGGGUUUUAUCCGAUUUGAAGGGUAUUAGUCCGGCCUAUUGUAUGCAUAAGAUUAUGUUAGAAGAUGAUUUUCGGCCCGUGGCACAACCUCAAAGGCGAUUGAAUCCAACCAUGAAAGAAAUGGUUAGAAAAGAGGUUGUGAAGUUAUUAGAGGCGGGGAUGAUUUAUCCUAUCUCCGAUAGCGAAUGGGUGCGUCUGGUACAUGUAGUUCCGAAGAAAGGUGGAUUGACGGUUGUGAGAAAUGAAAAGAACGAAUUGAUCAUUUCGAGAAUGGUGACCGGGUGGCGUAUGUGUAUUGAUUAUCGGAGGUUGAACCAAGCUACAAGAAAGGACCAUUUUCCAUUACCAUUUAUGGAUCAAAUGUUAGAGAGGCUAGCCGGAAGAAAUUUCUAUUGUUUCCUGGAUGGUUAUUCAGGAUACAAUCAAAUAACCGUGAAUCCGGCGGACCAUGAGAAAACUGCUUUUACAUGCCCCUUUGGCAUUUUUGCUUACCGCAGAAUGCCAUUUGGACUAUGUAAUGCUCCUGCAACAUUUCAAAGGUGCAUGCAAGCUAUUUUCUCAGAUUUGAUCGAGAAGAGCAUCGAGGUAUUCAUGGAUGAUUUUUUUGUGUACGGGUCGUCUUUUGACUUGUGCUUGAAGAAUCUUGAUGUGGUGAUGGAGCGGUGUAUUGAAACAAAUUUGGUUCUAAACUGGGAGAAGUGUACUUUCAUGGUAACGAAUGGGAGGGUUCUUGGCCACAAGGUUUCUUCAAAAGGACUUGAGGUCGAUCCUGCAAAAAUAGAAGUUAUUGAGAAGCUUCCCUCUCCGGUGAAUGUGAAAGGCAUAAGGAGUUUUCUGGGACAUGCUGGGUUCUAUAGAAGAUUCAUCAAGGAUUUCUCCAAGGUCGCAAAGCCUUUGAGUAAUUUGCUCAACAAAGAUACGGAAUUUAUUUUUGAUGAAUCAUGUUUAAAAGCUUUCCUAGAACUCAAAGAAAAAUUAACCACCACACCCAUAAUUGUCGCUCCUAAUUGGUCGCUUGAAUUUGAACGCAUGUGUGAUGCAAGCGAUUAUGCGGUUGGUGCGGUCUUAGGCCAAAGGAAGAACAAAAAUUUCCAUGCUAUACAUUAUGCGAGCAAAGUUUUAAACGAGGCACAUGUUAACUAUGCCACUACUGAAAAAGAGUUGCUCGCAAUUGUAUUUGCAUUGGAAAAGUUUCGUUCUUACCUUAUUGGUUCGAAAGUAGUGUGUUAUACUGAUCAUGCCGCAAUCAAAUAUCUUCUCACCAAGCCUGAUUCAAAACAGAGGCUUAUAAGGUGGAUUCUUCUGCUUCAAGAAUUUGAUCUUGAAGUGAGAGAUAAAAAAGGGACAGAAAAUUUGAUUGCGGAUCAUUUAUCUCGGUUAGUGAAUACCGAGGUAACAAAACAUGAAAAAGAAGUGAGGGAUGAAUUCCCGGAUGAAAAACUGUUCAUGGUUCAAAAAGUUAGACCCUGGUUCGCGGAUAUGGCUAACCAAAAAGCAUCCGGCUGGAUACCCGAGGAUCUAACUUGGAAUCAAAGAAAAAAGUUUUUGAAUGAUGCAAAUUUUUAUGUCUGGGAUGAGCCUCACUUGUUUAAGUUAAGUAGUGAUAAUCUUUUGACAAGAUGUGUCGCUGAUGAGGAAACAAAAAGCAUUUUUUGGCAUUGUCACAACUCGCCGUAUGGUGGUCAUUAUAAUGGUUUGCGUACGGCCACAAAAGUCCUGCAAUUGGGAUUUUGGUGGCCUACUUUGUUCAAAGAUGCUUACCACCAUGUUGCAUCUUGCGACAGUUGUCAAAGAACGGGUGGAAUUGGGAAAAGAGAGGAAAUGCCCCUCCAAAGUGUUUUGGAGGUAGAAGUAUUUGAUUGUUGGGGCAUUGACUUUGUUGGACCAUUCCCUUCCUCUAUGUCAAAUGAAUACAUCUUGGUAGGUGUAGAUUACGUGUCGAAGUGGGUUGAAGCGAUUGCUUCACCCAAAGCGGAUGGUAAGACCGUGAUCAAAUUUUUGAAGAGAAAUAUAUUUUCACGGUUUGGCACGCCAAGAGUGUUGAUUAGUGAUGGCGGAUCUCAUUUCUGGAAUGCCCCGCUUGAGAAUGUGUUGGAGCAAUAUGGAGUAAAGCACAAGAUAGCUACUCCAUAUCAUCCACAAACUAAUGGGCAAGUUGAGAGGACCAAUAGAGAGAUAAAGAGAAUUCUUGAGAAAACCGUGUCUAGCUCUAGGAAAGAUUGGUCGUUGAAACUGGAUGAAACCUUAUGGGCGUAUCGGACUGCUUUCAAAGCCCCGAUCGGCCUUACACCAUUUCAAAUGGUGUAUGGUAAAAGUUGACAUCUUCCCGUAGAACUAGAACAUAAGGCGUAUUGGGCCUUGAAGCUUUUAAAUUUUGACCACAAGUUGUGUGAUGAGAGAAGAAAAAUCCAACUUCAUGAGUUGGAAGAGAUGAGAUUGCAUGCCUACAAGUCUAAUUCAAUCUACAAAGAAAAGACCAAAUUCUAUCAUGAUAGUAAGAUUAGAAUGAAGGACUUUAAGGUAGGACAACUGGUGUUACUUUUCAAUUCCCGGUUAAGACUUUUUCCGGGAAAGUUGAAAUCGAAAUGGUCAGGACUGUUUCUGGUCAAAGAAGUUAGAAGCCAAGGGGCUGUAGUGAUAGAGGACCAUAAAACUAAGCAAGAGUGAGUUGUUAACGGUCAUAGGUUAAAGGUUUAUCGACGGAGUGAUUUUAAUCGUGAAACAUGUGUUUUAUCGUUUGGUGAUCCUUGAUUGCCUUUAACCGUCGAGCUGACCGACGUUAAACAAAGUGCUCUUGGGAGGCACCCCAAGUUGUAUAUAUUCACUUGUGUUUGUGUUAUUUUUGCAGGUGGGAUUUUUGUGUUGUCGUCGAGCCAGAACUGAUUUACCGGUAUUUUAGGGUGUGCUGAUAAAAGUAAUUUUUCUGCUGUUUCUGGUGUAGCGCGCGCCGCCCCCAAAAGCGCGCGUCGCGCGCUUAGUGACUUCAAUUACCCCUUCUAGGCAGAGAUGAGGGCGCGUCGCGCCGAUUUUGCGCACGUCGCACGAUGUACGUAUUUUUGAAAAAAAAUAAUUUUUGUUUGGGCCCACCCAUGCUGGGCCCGACCCAAACCGAGUUUAGAAAGGAAGUUUGGGUUUUGGAGGUCUGUUGCCUCCAUCAUUCACCCUUUUCCUCUUUGUUUCAAGAAAGAAAAAACAAAACACACACAAAGCUCUUAGUUUCUCGUGCAAAUUUCCUCACUAAUUUUCAUCUCUCCAUUGUCAUCAUCAACAAAGAUAUGGAACCUCUGUUGAAAAGAAAAAAGGCUGGUUUUGGUGAGGGAUCUUCCUCACAGGCUGCUAGAUUUAAUCGGUCAAAAUUUCAAGGACCGGAUCAGGAGGCUAGGUACCAUGAUCUUGAAAGCCGUGUCGUGUGGAGCGAGCGCACGGUAGUUCCUGUGGACCACGACCACUUCCAAAGGGCGUGGACUGCUUUGUCUGACACUUACUGGGACAAAUUGUUCACUCCAGGGAAAUUCUAUCAGGUGGAGAUUGUUAGAGAGUUCUAUGCAAACGCUUUGCCUCCGAGCAAUUGGGUAGGCACUGAAGCAUACCCGUUUACAACAUGGGUAAGAGGUAAGGUCAUUGACUUUAGCAAAGAUGCAAUAUUCGAUUAUCUUGACAAUCCUCUGGCUUUGGUGGAAGAAUGUGAGUACCAUCCCAAGUUGAAUAUAGACAAUUGGGAUGUGUCAUACCCCAAUUUUUGACCUAAGAUACCAUCUCCUAUCAUUUGCAUAUGCAUCAUUUACAUCUCUAACAAAUUGCAUAGCUUGUGUUUGUUACUUGUGACUCAGCAGGAUUUAAUCAGGAAAUCACCCAUCAGUACAAGUAACAAUCAAUUAGGGUUUUGUUCUCCCUUCAUCUCAAAUGAAUCAUCUUCAUCAAUAAUCAACAUUUGGUCCUCAGAGAUUCAUUUCAACAAGCUCAACAGCUUUGAAUCGACUGAAUUAGGGUUUUGACUGAAGACAGCACACUCCUGACUUUUGCUCAGAAUUUGACCUAAUGGCUUGGGACAUGAUAUCAAGACCUCAAGUGCAUCAUUUUGACCUAAUCCAUUGGCUCAUAACAUCUCCUACACAAAGAUUGAUCUGGCAAAUCCUCAGAUCAGGGUUUUGAACUAUCAGGGACCAAAAUCAGGGAUCACAUUUGGGAAACCCUAAAAACCCCCAGGGAGUCAAUCAAAGGUUUCAAUCAUCUUCAAAUAAUCCCUAUGACAACAUCCAAUGGAAAUUACAUCUCAAUUCAAGAUCCACAGUCAUCAAUUUCAUCUGGUCGACAAUUAGGGUUUUGACCUGAUUCACUGAAUAACUGACUUUUUAAUCAGGACAUGGUGCCACAACUCAAACCAUGGAUCAAUAUCCUCUAAUGCUUCAAUAUGAUCCAUUCACACCAUUCAUUUGAUGAGGAUAGCCUGUUUCAUUGAAAACUCCAGAAACGCGAUUCGUCUGAAAAAGUCAACUAUACAAGAUCACCAUUGACUUUUGGGGAAUUUUGGUCAACCAUGACUUUUGAAGUUUUUUAUCAUCAAUAUAUGAUAUGAGAAGUCAUUUGAUCAAGAAAAAUCAAGAAAAUCAAUCAAGAAUCAAAAAGUCAAAAGUUUGACUUUCAUACUUAGAAAAAUUUCUAAGUGUUUUUCAAUGGUUUUUUCCAAACUUUGAAAGGGAAUUUCUCAAAAUUUCACCUACAAACUGAAAAAAACUUCCAACAUGAAAGUUGUAGAUUUUGAUCCAAUAAACAACUUUGACACAUAUAAAUUUUUUCCAUAAGAUCAACCAUUUAAGAGAUAUGGUGCUUCAAAGUUGGUACUUUUUGAAAACUUCACUUAAAACUUCAUUUUCUUCAAAGUUCAUGGAACUUUUUCACCCAUUUCCUUAAGAGACUUGAGGAAACUUUCAACUAGGCUUUUGAAGUAUGUAAUAUGAGCUUUCCAAAAUGUCAAAGAGCAUGAAAAAAUAUGGAGUGUAGGUAUGGUUUUGAAUUAUGCAUUUAGUGAUCAUUUUCACUUGAAUUUUCACCAUUUUUCACUAAGUUUCAAGACUACAUGACCUAUAAUCCAAGCAAUGAUGCAAAGAGGCAAUAAUUGAAGAGAUAUUUUCUGAUAUAAGAUCAGAAUGGAAGAGGAUAAGAAGCUUGGGAUUUAACCAUGGUUUAGUAACUUUUAACCAUGUGCAUUAAAUGUAAAGAUUCCAUUUUAUCUUCAAAUGCCAAAUCACCAAUUCUUGAUCAACUUGCAAAGCUUUGUAUUCAGAAACCUUGGCCUAUAAAUAGAGGUCCAAACUUCAUUGCAAAUCACACCAAAACCUCACAAUUAUAGGUUUUCUCUCUUCUUUCUUGAAUUACAAGUCAUGUGUUUCAAAGUGAGGUAGAAAACUCAACCUCCAUCUCUUGCAAGUUCUGACCAAAGUGAUGCUUCCCACAAACCACAAACAUCAUAUGGGAUGUGUUUGAUCCAUCCAUACACCCCAAAUCACCCUAAAUCUCAGAAUCACUCUUCAACCACCAUAUUUGCAUAAAAUGAGCCUUAACAUAUCAAUUCUCAUACCAGGCCAUAUCUGUCCAAGUUAAUCAUCUAAACACACUCCAUAUACUUUACAUGAACUGUUCCAACCAUCAUACAUGAUCUGAAACAUCAAAAUCAACUAACUUGAUCCUCACUUAAGCUAAACUGCAGUUCGGGUACCACAAGGUGAUCAAGAGGUUUCCAGUUCAUUCCAGGCAUUCAAACACAUCACAUAAGGUCCAUUGAAGCUAUCCAGAUCAUCACAAAGCAUCUGUAACACCUCCAGGCACGAUUUCAAUUUCCAGUUUGGCCGUUUUUGAGGUAAGUGCUCAUGAACUUCAAACUCCAUCAUACAUGCAUCAUAAAUGAAAAAUGAACAUACCAUCUUGUUUCUGCACCUAUGAGGAUCAUUAACCCUCAAUCAAUUGCAUCAUAACAUGAUCAUACACGAUUUCACAUUGAAUUUCAGUUCUAGGGUUCUUCGUGUUCAUCAGAAAAUUGAUAGCCUUAGAGUGAAAAUAAAUGAAAUUAAAGAUCACCAUCAUGUUCCUUAUGAAAAAACGAGUGAGAUAGACUAUCUACUUGAUCAAAACAAUCCAGUUUCAAAGAUUUUCAAAAAUCAAAUGGGGAUGGUGUUCUUGGCGCGUUUUUUGUUCAGAAAAUUCAAAUUCUUGUUUUCCAAUAUAACUAAAUGGACGCGUGUAUGUUACAAGCCACAAGCGUGGCUCAGUUGGCUUUUGUUUUGAGAAAUAACCUCCAGGUCGUGGGUUCAACACCCUUAGGGGCCAAAACCUCUUUUUUAUCAUUUUUUUUCUUAUUUUUCUUCACAACUUCACCAUUUGUUUUAACCAAUCAAAUUAACUCAUUUUUUAUUCAUUUUUUAAACACUUCUCAUUUAAUAUAUGUAUUUUAUGAAUAUCCAAAAAAAAUCACAAAAAAAGAUUUAUUUAAUAUGUUUUUAAUUAGGUUUAAAAUGAUACAUUUUUAAGUGUUUUUAAUUACUUUAAAUAUCGUUUUUCAUUUAAUUUUUAACCUAAUCACUUGUAAAUAUUUUUUGUGAUCAAACCCUAAUCAUUUAGGUCUUAAUUAAGCAUUAAAAUUUGUUUUAACUUAAUUAAAUUGACUUUUGUCAAAUUCAAAUCGUUUUAAAACGAACGAUCGCGGUUCUUUUCAAAAACAAUGAACCAUUUCUUUUUGAAACUUUUGAUUAAAUCUUUUAAUUGAUCAAUUGGUUUUCAAAACGAUGUGGGGCCUCUCGAAUAUUAGAGAGUAUAAGACCCACUCUUUUUUCUUUUAUACAGUUUUUCUUUGUACAGAAAACUCUUUCAAAACAAAAUCUUUUCAAACAAUUUUCAAAUCAUUUUCAAAACAACCAAACUUCAAAUUAUUCAAAACUUUUCAAAUAUACCAUGGGCCUCCACGUAGGUAUAAGUCCCAAGCCCCUUUUGUACAUACCCAUUCCAGUACAUGAAAUUAGGUAUUUCAUUGUACGCCUUUCUGUACAUACAUUUUUUGUACAUACACUUUUUGUACAUACUCCUUUUUGUACAUAUCUCAAUCAAUUUGUUUUUAACUUUGAAUAACAAACCAAAAAUGAAGGUUUUCUUUAAAUCUUCCCAAAAAAUAUACCAUGGGCCUCCAUGUAGGUAUAAGUCCCAAGCCCUUUUGUGAAUACCUGUUUACAUAGCUUUGAAUAAACUCAAGUGGACCUCUCCUCGAGUAUAAGUCCCGAGCCCUGUGUAUACAAAUGGAUCAUGCUUACAGGUAUAUUUCCUUCAUAAACUCCAUUAUAUACACACACUUUGUCAUAUAUAACUGUUCAUAUAACUGUUCAUAUUUGUUCAUGUACUUGUGCAUAUUUGUUUGUACUUGUUCAUACUUGUGAUUGUGUUAUAUAUGCUUGUUCAACUUAGUACAACACUAGGUUCCCCAUAGCCUCCUAUUGGGCUUCGUGCAAAGAAUCUCCACUAGUUUAGGUUAGGACAUAGAGUAUGGUUUCCCGGUGAAAUCGCUCUAAUAGCUCAAACCAACUAUACCACGCCUCCCCUUGGGCUUUGUACAAACGAGUGACCCUCCCAUAGCCUCCUCUUGGGCUUACAAUGCAAGGACCCUGGAUUAUCCCUCCCAUAGCCUCCUCUUGGGCUUACAAUGCAAGGACCCUCGGAUAGCCUCCUCUUGGGCUUCGUACAAGGACCCACGGGCUUCUUAUAAGCAUCCCCAAUAUCCAAAACCAAAUACCCUAGGAGAUUAGACAUUUUUCAUCUCUAUGCUAGGAGUAUCUCUUAUAUAUCAUCACAAACAAUCAAUCAAUCAAACUUUUUUGCCACAAGUCUGGCUAAUCAAUCAAUCUUCUUUUUGCCACAAGGCUGGCUAAUCAAUCAAACCGUUUUACCACCGUACUGGAUGAUUAAUCAAAGUUUUUGUCACAAGGCUGACUUCAUUGAAACUUUUGCCACGAGGCUGGCUGAUUAAUCAAAACUUUUUGUCACAAGGCUGACUUCAUUGAAAGUUUUUGCCACAAGGCUGGUUAGACAAACAAAAAAUCAAACAGAUGUAUGUGAUGAUAUAGAUUAGAUACAUCUAGCAUUUAGACGACAUUUGUCUAUUUUCCUUUGCUUCCACUAGCAUAAGUGGGAACUACGAUUGCUCUGACUUUCUCAACAUCCCUUUGAGAAUACGUAGGCACAAGGUCGAUCCUUGGCGAGCAAAACAAAACAAAAAAAACCAUUCAAACCUUAGCACCCGUAGACCCCGAGCUACAGAUGCUCUGAUUCCCUUUAAGGGAUAUGUAUGCAGAGGAUCGCGAUGAUCUUUGUGAGCAUAAUCAAACAAACACCUUAGGUCCCACCUAUUUCAACAAGAACCUCUCAACAAGAAUGGAAUGAAAAACAAAGUAAAGAACCCUGUAGAGUACUACAGAUACGUUGGGUGCUAAUACCUUCCCUUCGUAUAACCAACCCUCUUACCCAAGAUCUCUCCCCCCACUUUUAGGUUAUUGCAGCUUUUUUCCUUUUCCUCCUUUGGAAAUAAUAAAAAGUUUGGUCGAAAUAAAAGAAAAAUCAUUUUUAUGAGCACUUGAGCCCAAAGAAGGCAUCAGGUGUCUCAUCCCACAAAAAAGAGGAACAAAACGAUUUUUCGCCCGCGACAGAAAAAUGGCGACUUCACUGGGGACCAUCUUUUUAUUGUUUCCAAAGGAAGGGUUAAUUCUAUUUGCUUUAUUUUUUAUUUCAUUUUUUUGUUAUAUGUGUGGUUCUGGUUCUGUUACUUGUGUGGUUCUGUUACAAGUGAUACAUUAUGGACAAAUCCUAACCCGGAUUAAGUACACAUAAGAAAUUAGGUGGAGGGUAUAGUCAUGUGCAGGCGCACGUGAGAAUCCUUCCGCUCAGUGGAGGUUCCUUGUUGGUAAUAUAUGUUUAGCAUGUUUCGUAGCGAAGACAUUAUUACUUUCAUUGAACUGUAGAAGCUGAGAGACCGUAGAACCCCAACCCAUCCUGGCCUUAUUAGGUUGUGGUGCAGAAACUAUUCAGGUGAAGACUUGGAUUAGUUGUCAUGCGGAGAACCACACUCAGACGAGUUUUUCUUGAGAAUAUUACUGGCUCAUGAGUUUAAUUGUGGAAGGCCGGUAAUAUCCGAAAGAAAAAUGUAGACUCUGACGUAUCAGUAGAACAUGUCAUGCAGGUGAUUAACUAGAUCUAUCCCAUUUUUGGUUCUCUGACCUCAUGCUCGUGACUUUGGACCUUUGAACUUAUGCGUUACCAUGUUUGUGUACCAUGUUUGUAAUACCAUGUUAGUGUUACCAUGUUUGAACUACCAUGUUUGCUUAACCAUGUUUGAAUAUAUGGCAUCCAUGCAUCCAUGCAUUCAUACAUUCAUUAAAAAAACCCAUCUUUUUCCAUAAAAAACAUGAUUUUUCCAAAAAUUUUAGAGAAUUUUCUUUGCAAACAUUAUAGGAUUAAGUUAUGGAAAAAAGGUAUACCAAAAAGUACGGUUUCAAAGCGCCUGAUGUAGAAAGACUGAUAGAGUUAGCAUCUUUCGUACAAGAUCCUUCUAAUUUUAGGAAAAGUUAUGGAAAGCUUUUGCCUAUCCUGAACACUCAUGUUGAUGAAGGACUUCUCAAAACUCUGGUUCAGUUCUAUGAUCCCGUCUACCGGUGUUUUACCUUUCCAGACUACCAGUUGGUACCGACCUUGGAAGAAUAUGCCAAUCUUUUAGGUAUCCCUGUGUCUGACAAAAUACCCUUCAAUGGUUUGGAAGCCAUUCCUAAGUCACACGUCAUUGCAGCAAGUACCCAUUUGAAAAAGUCUGAAGUAGAGAGUAAUUGGACUACCAAAGGAAACCUCCCGGGUUUAACCUCACACUUCCUAAUAAAGAAAGCCUUUGAUUUCAUCGAAACUGGUAGCAUGAUAGCCUUUGAAGCUGUACUAGCCUUGCUCAUCUAUGGGUUGGUUCUGUUUCCCAAUGUCGACAACUUUGUUGAUAUCAAUGCCAUAAAGAUCUUUCUAAUUGGAAAUCCUGUUCCGACUUUACUUGGUGACAUGUAUUUCUCUGUUCAUCAUAGGAAUCGCCAAGGCGGUGGAAUCAUUGUAUGUUGUGCACCUUUGUUGUUCAAGUGGAUUGUUUCACACUUACCUGAGUCUCCUAUUUUCACGGAAAACCGAGAAGGCUUGCGUUGGCCUCGAAGACUUAUGUCUCUUACUAAUAAUGAUAUUCGUUGGUAUACCUUGGCUCGCUGUGGUACAGAAACCAUUGAAAGUUGUGGAGAGUUCGCCAACGUACCCCUCAUUGGUACACAAGGAGGAAUUAACUACAAUCCGGUCCUGGCCCGACGACAACUCGGGUAUGCAAAUUCAGUUAAACCUGCUGGUCCCUCAGUGGAAGGUUACUUUUACCGAGAAGGGGAUAAUCCUAAAAAGUUGAAAGCAAGAAUGAUGAGAGCUUGGUACGACGUCCGAUGGAAAGAAAAAGGUGAGGAAAGAAAUUGCAUUGCCAUGGACGCCUACACCUGCUGGGUAAAGAAAAGAGCCAAGGAGUUCCAAAUGCCUUAUGCUUAUGAAAAACCCAUGUUUCCUGCAGUGUCUCAACGACCCAACAUUCCAGCUAUGGAGGAAUACCAACGCACUUUGGCUAAGAUGAGGACAGAAAAAGAUGCUUGGGAAGAAAAGUUUCGUAGCACUGAGGUGGAAAAUAGAAAGUUGAAGAAAAGAGUGAAAGAUCACGAAGAAACUCUCUACUGUCAAGAUGGAUGGCUCAUGAGCAAAGAUGAGAAGAUUCGCCAGAAAGACGCUGCAAUCAAGAGGUACAUCAGAGAAAGCAAGAAAAAUCUGGAAGGCUCGACAAGCAACGCUCCGACUCCUGAUGAUUGGAAGAAGGUUGUUGACAAGCUGAGAGCUGAAAAGGCCGAAUUGAAAGCUCACUAUGGGAAAGAAAUCAUGAAGCUCAAGCUGCACAAUGCAUUUGGUUCUUCAUCUGAUGAAGAUGCUUAGGAUUUGUUUAGCUUUUUUAUUUAUCAUUUGCUUUUGUAAGGAGCUAUGCUCCAAUGUUGUAACAUUUCCCAUUUAUUCAAUAAAAGAUUUAUUUGUGUUUGCAAGAAAAUAAUCUUUAAAAUAUUUGGAAAAAUCAUAAAUUUCUUUUUGCAUACAUCAUUCUGCAUAUCGAGUCUGUUGUAUAGAGUCUCAUCUUUUGGAUCUUUCUCCAUUAGAUCGUCAAGCUGUCGCGUCUCAAAGUUUCUCGACCGCGCUCGCAAUCCGAUCACAGAUACAAUACUCGUUCAAGCAGAAGAAGAGUAA
Molecule: RNA transcript, 14481 nt
Organism: Vicia villosa (hairy vetch)
Lineage: Eukaryota; Viridiplantae; Streptophyta; Magnoliopsida; Fabales; Fabaceae
Exons: 4
Source: RefSeq, a predicted model, not a curated record